This 136-nucleotide ribosomal RNA is filed under the name uncultured bacterium. RNAcentral describes it as "partial 16S ribosomal RNA". It matches the Rfam family "Bacterial small subunit ribosomal RNA", at positions 355 to 509 of the family's 1533-position model. The record is from RNAcentral.
UGAGGGAUAUUGGUCAAUGGGGGAACCCUGAACCAGCAACGCCGCGUGAGGGAAGACGGUUUUCGGAUUGUAAACCUCUGUCCUCUGUGAAGAUAAUGACGGUAGCAGAGGAGGAAGCUCCGGCUAACUACGUGCC